This 256-nucleotide ribosomal RNA is filed under the name uncultured bacterium. RNAcentral's name for it is "partial 16S ribosomal RNA". It matches the Rfam family "Bacterial small subunit ribosomal RNA", at positions 524 to 776 of the family's 1533-position model. The record is from RNAcentral.
UACGGUAGGGGGCUAGCGUUGUCCGGAAUCAUUGGGCGUAAAGCGCGUGUAGGCGGUCCGGUAAGUCUGCUGUGAAAGUCGGGGGCUCAACCCUCGAAUGCCGGUGGAUACUGUCGGGCUAGAGUGCGGAAGAGGCGAGUGGAAGUUCCUGGUGUAGCGGUGAAAUGACGCAGAUAUCAGGAGGAACACCUAUUGCGAAGGCAGCUCGCUGGGACGUAACUGACGCUGAGACGCGAAAGCGUGGGGAGCAAACAGG